RNAcentral lists this ribosomal RNA (253 nucleotides) under uncultured bacterium. Its description in RNAcentral is "partial 16S ribosomal RNA". It matches the Rfam family "Bacterial small subunit ribosomal RNA", at positions 524 to 776 of the family's 1533-position model. The record is from RNAcentral.
GACGAACCGUGCGAACGUUGUUCGGAAUCAAUGGGCUUAAAGGGUGCGUAGGCGGGCAACCAAGUCCGGGGUGAAAGCUCCCGGCUCAACCGGGAAAGUGCCUUGGAUACUGGUUGUCUUGAGGGAGAUAGGAGCGAGUGGAACUUCCGGUGGAGCGGUGAAAUGCGUUGAUAUAGGAAGGAACGCCGGUGGCGAAAGCGACUCGCUGGACCUCUUCUGACUCUGAGGCGCGAAAGUCAGGGGAGCGUACUGG